This 468-nucleotide ribosomal RNA is filed under the name uncultured bacterium. RNAcentral's name for it is "partial 16S ribosomal RNA". It matches the Rfam family "Bacterial small subunit ribosomal RNA", at positions 28 to 507 of the family's 1533-position model. The record is from RNAcentral.
GACGAACGCUGGCGGCGUGCUUAACACAUGCAAGUCGAACGGAAAGGCCCUGCUUUUGUGGGGUGCUCGAGUGGCGAACGGGUGAGUAACACGUGAGUAACCUGCCCUUGACUUUGGGAUAACUUCAGGAAACUGGGGCUAAUACCGGAUAGGAGCUCCUGCUGCAUGGUGGGGGUUGGAAAGUUUCGGCGGUUGGGGAUGGACUCGCGGCUUAUCAUCUUGUUGGUGGGGUAGUGGCUUACCACGGCUUUGACGGGUAGCCGGCCUGAGAGGGUGACCGGCCACAUUGGGAAGGAGAGACGGCCCAGACUCCUACGGGAGGCAGCAGGGGGGAAUAUUGAACAAGGGGCGGAAGCCUGAUGCAGCAACGCCGCGGGCGGGAUGACGGCCGUCGGGUUGUAAACCGCUUUCGCCUGUGACGAAGCGUGAGUGACGGUAAUUGGUAAAGAAGCACCGGCUAACUACGUG